RNAcentral lists this ribosomal RNA (253 nucleotides) under uncultured bacterium. Its description in RNAcentral is "partial 16S ribosomal RNA". It matches the Rfam family "Bacterial small subunit ribosomal RNA", at positions 524 to 776 of the family's 1533-position model. The record is from RNAcentral.
UACGUAGGUGGCAAGCGUUAUCCGGAAUUAUUGGGCGUAAAGCGCGCGCAGGCGGUUUCUUAAGUCUGAUGUGAAAGCCCACGGCUCAACCGUGGAGGGUCAUUGGAAACUGGGGAACUUGAGUGCAGAAGAGAAAAGCGGAAUUCCACGUGUAGCGGUGAAAUGCGUAGAGAUGUGGAGGAACACCAGUGGCGAAGGCGGCUUUUUGGUCUGUAACUGACGCUGAGGCGCGAAAGCGUGGGGAGCGAACCGG